AUCGGCAACCAUACCACGUUGAAAACACCGGUUGUCGUCGGAUCACUGAAGUUAAGCAACUUUGCGCCCAGUUAAUUGGUAUACCAGGUGUCGCCGACC
This 99-nucleotide ribosomal RNA is filed under the name Trichobilharzia regenti. The record is from RNAcentral. Lineage: Eukaryota; Metazoa; Platyhelminthes; Trematoda; Strigeidida; Schistosomatidae.